RNAcentral lists this ribosomal RNA (301 nucleotides) under uncultured bacterium. RNAcentral describes it as "partial 16S ribosomal RNA". It matches the Rfam family "Bacterial small subunit ribosomal RNA", at positions 509 to 809 of the family's 1533-position model. The record is from RNAcentral.
CAGUAGCCGCGGUAAUACGAAGGGGGCUAGCGUUGUUCGGAUUUACUGGGCGUAAAGGGCGCGUAGGCGGGCUGAUCAGUCAGGGGUGAAAUCCCAAGGCUCAACCUUGGAACUGCCUUUGAUACUGUCGGUCUUGAGUUCGAGAGAGGUAAGUGGAACUGCGAGUGUAGAGGUGAAAUUCGUAGAUAUUCGCAAGAACACCAGUGGCGAAGGCGGCUUACUGGCUCGAAACUGACGCUGAGGCGCGAAAGCGUGGGGAGCAAACAGGAUUAGAUACCCCAGUAGUCCCUGUCUCUUAUAU